RNAcentral lists this ribosomal RNA (468 nucleotides) under uncultured bacterium. Its description in RNAcentral is "partial 16S ribosomal RNA". It matches the Rfam family "Bacterial small subunit ribosomal RNA", at positions 28 to 507 of the family's 1533-position model. The record is from RNAcentral.
GACGAACGCUGGCGGCGUGCUUAACACAUGCAAGUCGAACGGAAAGGCCCUGCUUUUGUGGGGUGCUCGAGUGGCGAACGGGUGAGUAAAACGUGAGUAACCUGCCCUUGACUUUGGGAUAACUUCAGGAAACUGGGGCUAAUACCGGAUAGGAUCUCUUGAUGCACGGUGGGGGUUGGAAAGUUUCGGCGGUUGGGGAUGGACUCGCGGCUUAUCAGCUUGUUUGUGAAGUAGUGGCUUACCAAGGCUUUGACGGAUAGCCGGCCUGAGAGGGUGACCGGCCACAUGGGGACUAAGAGACGGCCCAGUAUCCUACGGGAGGCAGCGGUCGGGAAUAUUGCAGAACAGGCGCACGCCUGAUGCAGCAACCCCGCGUGCGGAAUAACGUCCUACGAGUUAUGAACCGCUUUCGCCGGUGACGAAGCGUGAGUGACGGUAAUGAAUAAAGAAGCACCGGCUAACUACGUG